AGAGUUUGAUCCUGGCUCAGGAUGAACGCUGGCGGCGUGCCUAACACAUGCAAGUCGAACGGACUUUUCAUGAAGCCUAGCGAUUGAAAAGUUAGUGGCGGACGGGUGAGUAACGCGUGGGUAACCUGCCUUGUACUGGGGGACAACAGUUGGAAACGACUGCUAAUACCGCAUAAAGCGCACAGCUUCGCAUGAAGCAGUGUAGAAAAACUCCGGUGGUACAAGAUGGACCCGCGUCUGAUUAGCUGGUUGGUGAGGUAACGGCCGCCAAGGCGACGAUCAGUAGCCGGCCUGAGAGGGUGAACGGCCACAUUAGGGACUGAGACACGGCCAAACUCCUACGGGAGGCA
Molecule: ribosomal RNA, 350 nt
Filed under: uncultured bacterium
Lineage: Bacteria
Description: bacterial SSU rRNA
Rfam family: Bacterial small subunit ribosomal RNA
Source: RNAcentral